AAUCAACGCUGGCGGCGCGCUUAACACAUGCAAGUCGAACGGGAAAGUGGAGCAAUCCAUGAGUACAGUGGCGUACGGGUGAGUAACACGUGGGUAAUCUACCUCUUAGUGGGGAAUAACCCUGGGAAACCGGGGCUAAUACCGCAUAAGCCUGAGAAGGGAAAGCAGCAAUGCGCUGAGAGAGGAGCCCGCGGCCGAUUAGCUAGUUGGUAGGGUAAAGGCCUACCAAGGCAGAGAUCGGUAGCCGGCCUGAGAGGGCACACGGCCACACUGGCACUGAAACACGGGCCAGACUCCUACGGGAGGCAGCAGUGGGGAAUCUUGCACAAUGGGGGCAACCCUGAUGCAGCGACGCCGCGUGAGCGAUGAAGCCCUUCGGGGUGUAAAGCUCUUUCGUCAGGGAAGAUGA
Molecule: ribosomal RNA, 409 nt
Filed under: Acidobacteria bacterium Ellin7190
Lineage: Bacteria; Pseudomonadati; Acidobacteriota
Description: bacterial SSU rRNA
Rfam family: Bacterial small subunit ribosomal RNA
Source: RNAcentral